This is a non-coding RNA of Pelodiscus sinensis (Chinese soft-shelled turtle), 976 nucleotides long. NCBI's taxonomy places the organism in Eukaryota, Metazoa, Chordata, Testudines, Trionychidae. The record is from RefSeq and is a predicted model, not a curated record.
GUCAGGAAGUCCAAAGCUUUAUAAAGCAGUGAGCAAGCGAUCAAGGAACUUGUGAACAGGAAUUAGAUCCAGUGCUCCUGUCAGCUUUUUGCUAAGUUAUCUGCUGAAAAAAAAAGAGUUUUCAGCUGCCUUAGUAGCUCCUGGAAAGAGGUUCAUGGAAGGAAAGGAAAGUCUUUUAAAUAUUGAGACAUCUUGGAGCUGACAUCAUGCACCCUGAGCACUUAGUAUCUGCAAUAGAUUCUUCCCAGAUAAGACUAUUAAUGUCAACUGUUAAAGUCUUGAACAACAAAUUAUUUGAUACGUCACCAGGAGAGCUACAGCUGGUGUAUAUGGUCAUAUGUAGUAAUUUUGCACCAUAGCAUGGACUGUUUAAAAAGAUAAUGCAGCAUCUAAACAUGAUAAACUGGACAAAAUUUUUGUGACUGCUGGCAUUUCAUUCAUAGAAAUGUAAUUUCUGUUCAAGGUAUUCAUUUAUUUGGUGGCUGGGAUAGUCACAUGUUUUUAAUGUCUGGACAUGCUUUUUCUUGUAAAGUACAUAUAAUAAUAAUAAUUAAUAAAUAAUGGUUAGGUUUCUUAGAUUGUGUAUUCCCUGAGACUUUAAUAUCCUGUGAUUUAUCUUAAUAUUUAUAAUAACAGUCAUUAAUUAACAAGCCUGAUUCAGUGUCCAUUAGCAUUAGUCAGAGACUCUCCAUAGCCCCCCUAAAGGAACAUUUAAAACAAUUAGUUACUCAUUUUGGAAUAUAGACUUCAGAAGUUUGUCAUUUUUGGCACAUUUUUAACUAACCUGAUCCUUGCUUUCUCAUUAUUUUGCUCUGCAGAAAAUUUUCUGGUUUUAGUAGACACUCAUCAUCUUCUUUUUUCCACUGUGAAAGUUUGUUGACUAUCUAAUGUUCCCUAUUGCAAUCAUAUAAUUUGAGAAGUUUUUUCCUAAUGUCCAUCCUAAGCUGCCCUUGCUGGAAUUUAAGCUCAUUGCUGC